UAGGGAAUCUUCGGCAAUGGACGAAAGUCUGACCGAGCAACGCCGCGUGAGUGAAGAAGGUUUUCGGAUCGUAAAACUCUGUUGUUAGAGAAGAACAAGGACGUUAGUAACUGAACGUCCCCUGACGGUAUCUAACCAGAAAGCCACGGCUAACUACGUGCCAGCAGCCGCGGUAAUACGUAGGUGGCAAGCGUUGUCCGGAUUUAUUGGGCGUAAAGCGAGCGCAGGCGGUUUCUUAAGUCUGAUGUGAAAGCCCCCGGCUCAACCGGGGAGGGUCAUUGGAAACUGGGAGACUUGAGUGCAGAAGAGGAGAGUGGAAUUCCAUGUGUAGCGGUGAAAUGCGUAGAUGUAUGGAGGAACACCAGUGGCGAAGGCGGCUCUCUGGUCUGUAACUGACGCUGAGGCUCGAAAGCGUGGGGAGCAAACAGG
Molecule: ribosomal RNA, 429 nt
Filed under: Gemmatimonadota bacterium
Lineage: Bacteria; Pseudomonadati; Gemmatimonadota
Description: Gemmatimonadetes bacterium partial 16S ribosomal RNA
Rfam family: Bacterial small subunit ribosomal RNA
Source: RNAcentral